UAUAAUCCUAUAAUCAUUAUUUAUAUAUAAUCAGAGAGAGAGGAGAGAGAGAGAGUCAAAUUCAAAUUAACAGUUAAAAAAAUUCUGCCCUGGACCUCAUGCUCAGGUGAUCUAACGAAAUUUUGGCUUGCGUUAACUGGUUCAGCAUAUUGGAAAGGGGAAAGAUUCCCAUUUGAUAUUAUUAAAAUAAUAUAAACUUUGUGGCAAAAUAAGUUAAAGGCAAAAAAAAAAAGAGAAAAAAAAGCUGCAGUUUGAAGCAAGGAGAUUUUAGGGUAGAUACAGGGAAAGCGCUAACAAGAGGGGAGCAAUUUGGGGAACUGUCCUAGAAAGUACAAGUGCUGGGGAGUUGUGUGCAUAAGAAAGACAUUAAGGAAGGGAUGAUGUUUGUAGUGAGGUGUAAAUCCCUCCCGAAAAUCCUUGAGCUUGUUAGGACAAACUAACAUUGUUUUUCAAUGAUUCUGGAACAAAUGUGUGUGUGAGUGCGUGCGUGCAUGUGUGUGUGUGUGUGUGUGUGUGUGUGUGUAAGCAGUAGAGAGACACGGGCUGCAAAAUAUGCAGAGCGAGACCUGAGAUGGAAAAGAUAGAGAUUUAAAUCUCUAGGGUCAAAUUGUUACACUUAUUGGGGCACCUGGGUGACUCAGCGGUUUAGCACCGCCUUCAGUCCAGGGUGUGAUCCUGGAGGCCUGGGAUCAAGUCCCACAUCAGGCUCCCUGCAUGGAGCCUGCUUCUCCCUCUGCCUGUCUCUGCCUCUUUCUCUGUGUCUUUCAUGAAUAAAUAAAUAAAAUCUUUAGAAAAAAGGAAAUUGAGGUGGGAAAUUGUAACUUUUGCUUUCUUCAUUUCCAUAAUUUGACAAUUUCCCUAAUUUGCAUAUAACAUGCUUAAAUAAAAAAUAAACUUCUUAUAAAAUAAUUUUGAUCAUCAUAAAAGCACAUUUCGUACACUGACCUCUGAGACAAUAGUUAGAAGAAAGCAACUGGUGGCACCUUCCCUGGCAGGAUCUUCCUUUAUUCCCAGGGUAAUCUCUCCUCAGUUUUUCCUCCCAACUUCUGUCUCCUAUGUCUUCUUUCCCUUCAUCCUUUUUGCAAUAUGUCCAGAUUCCUCUUUCUGCUUUUUAGAAAAAAAAAAAACCUUUAUUUUUAUUUUUUUUAUCAUCUCAGGAUGACUUUUCAAGUGCCAGUAUUUAAAUCUUAUUUUUUGGAGAGAGGAGGGAGAAAUAGAGGCGAAAGCCACAAUGCAGGAACUGUAAAUUGCUGAGAUUUACCUUUGUUGUGCAACUGGAGUACGAAUGUAUUGCCAAAAUAGCCUGACAUUUAGCAAAGUGCUGGAUUGCUGGGCCAUUACUGCAGUUACUAAAUAUACUCAAGCAAACAAUAAUUAAUCUUCCCAUGUCUUAGUACCGUCUGCAUCUUAAUAUUGUUUUUCAGUCUGUUCAUUUUGGUGAUCACAUUCACAGAAUAAUUUGACCAUAUACAGGAAAUGUAUUCAGAGUAUAUUCUUAAAUAUGAGGGAGCUUAUUUUGGCCACGAAGAGGCUUUAGAUAAUUUGCUGUCUUCCAACAAUGGUUCUACCUUUGAUUUUUUUCCCCUAAACCCAUCAGAUGGCACUUUAAUUCGCUUCUGUGUAAUCAUUCGUCUGAUGUGAAAUUUCUGGCUCUGUUUAAAAUAAUCAACAUGUCAUAAAACAUAAGUUAGUGCUGCAAAUCCCAAAAAACAUAAUAUGAAAUGGUGACCUAUUUAUAACCUUACAAAAUAUUCUUCUACAAAUAGAUUAUAUGUAUCUAAAUUAUCUGUAUGCAGUAGUUAUUAAAGACAUAAAUUUAUGUCCAUCUGUAUCACUAGGCCUAGAAGAGACAUUAAGAGCCCUCAGCAGAGACUGUACACUUCUGUUUAACUAUUUUAUUCAAUCUGGGGUGAAAAAAAUCACAUGAAGUGAUGCAAAGAAAGAAUGUUAUAAAUUAUCAUGUUGUUACAUAGCUUCAUUUUAUAGCUUAUACAGGUAAAUAACCAGAAAAUAUUUUUAUUUCUAUUGCUAAUCAUACUCUGCUUCCUAAAGCACAAUAAAAUUGUAGCACCAGGCAUGAUCCAGGCCAUUUUUCACACUUGGUCUUACAAAAGUGAGAAAUGUCCCUGCUUCUGUUAUAGUACCUGCCAGUGGAGGAUUUCCAGGAGUUGCAACGUCAAAGUACAAGAAGGAACACAAGCACAUUGGAGGGCAGUCUCCGUGACCUUGAAGAAGGAUGGCCAUAUCACAAGAACAUAUCACUUUUGGAGCGAGGAUGUGAAAAUCGAAGGAUGGAGCUGGGUCUAUUUUUAUUUCUCCUCCCUUUGGCAUUCUUCAAACAUUCAUUUUCGAAGCAAACGUUGUACUCAUUGAUGACUUCAGUUAAAACAUCUGAGUAGGCCAGGGUGGUACCUACUACAGGAAUUUGUCAGUUCCUUCCCGAUGAUGAUUUCUGAACACCCUGUAUUGCGCCUGGAUACACUCAAUGAAGCAGUUUAUUUGAAGGCUUACACGAAGUCUGGAAGUAAAUACUGGAACACCAUGUUGGUCAUUUUGGAUGGAACUCUGAACAAUUGUGCAACAUAGUUGAGGAUCACUUCCCUGAGAUGAUUCAUGAGCAAACUGCAGGAAAUUAUUGAUGAAGGCCCUUAACAGGCAAUGAUAAGAAAGAUAAGUUACAUCUUCCUGGGGCCAAGUCGUGUCUUCCAUCAUCUCUUCAAUUCUUGUUGUGACAUAAGCUAACAUUCUAUUAAGUUUUGCUUUGUUUUUCCAUAGUGGAUGAAAAUGUUUUCAGAUUUCACGCUUCCAAAUAGGCAACACUGAAAAUAUUGAAUCUACUUGGCCGUUUGAUGCAAGGACUAAGUGCUGGGAAGACUGGUCUCCUUGGACGAAUAGAUCAGUGAGGCAUAAAGACAGAAAGGAUUCUCAAAGGCAGCGCUUCCCAAUCUUCCUGGCAUAUGCGUAGAGAAUGCGUAGAGAAUAACACUGGUUGGGGACACAAGAAUAAUUGAGAAGAAUGCUUCGGGUCAUGUGGUCUUCUGCUGCAACUAUUGAACUCUGCCUUGUAAUGUGACAUCUACCAUAGAUAACAGAAGAAGGAUAAAUGUGGCUAUGUUCCAAUAUAUUUAUAGAUACUGACAUUGAAUUUCAUGUCAUUUCACAUGUGACAAAAUACUAUUACUAUUUUGAUUUUAAUAAUCAAUAAUGGUUAAUGUAAAUUUUUAGCUUACAGACUAUACACAUUAUGAUAGUUACCAAUCUUUUACCAUUGUCAAAGUUCUGAACCUUACACAUUAAAGGCAUAGAUUUCAUUGAAUGUAAAUUAUGCUUCU
Molecule: long non-coding RNA, 3332 nt
Organism: Nyctereutes procyonoides (raccoon dog)
Lineage: Eukaryota; Metazoa; Chordata; Mammalia; Carnivora; Canidae
Exons: 8
Source: RefSeq, a predicted model, not a curated record